RNAcentral lists this ribosomal RNA (894 nucleotides) under Fusarium oxysporum f. sp. callistephi. RNAcentral describes it as "LSU rRNA". It matches the Rfam family "Eukaryotic large subunit ribosomal RNA", at positions 38 to 962 of the family's 3401-position model. The record is from RNAcentral. Lineage: Eukaryota; Fungi; Ascomycota; Sordariomycetes; Hypocreales; Nectriaceae.
GCAUAUCAAUAAGCGGAGGAAAAGAAACCAACAGGGAUUGCCCUAGUAACGGCGAGUGAAGCGGCAACAGCUCAAAUUUGAAAUCUGGCUCUCGGGCCCGAGUUGUAAUUUGUAGAGGAUACUUUUGAUGCGGUGCCUUCCGAGUUCCCUGGAACGGGACGCCAUAGAGGGUGAGAGCCCCGUCUGGUUGGAUGCCAAAUCUCUGUAAAGUUCCUUCAACGAGUCGAGUAGUUUGGGAAUGCUGCUCUAAAUGGGAGGUAUAUGUCUUCUAAAGCUAAAUACCGGCCAGAGACCGAUAGCGCACAAGUAGAGUGAUCGAAAGAUGAAAAGCACUUUGAAAAGAGAGUUAAAAAGUACGUGAAAUUGUUGAAAGGGAAGCGUUUAUGACCAGACUUGGGCUUGGUUAAUCAUCUGGGGUUCUCCCCAGUGCACUUUUCCAGUCCAGGCCAGCAUCAGUUUUCCCCGGGGGAUAAAGGCGGCGGGAAUGUGGCUCUCUUCGGGGAGUGUUAUAGCCCACCGUGUAAUACCCUGGGGGGGACUGAGGUUCGCGCAUCUGCAAGGAUGCUGGCGUAAUGGUCAUCAACGACCCGUCUUGAAACACGGACCAAGGAGUCGUCUUCGUAUGCGAGUGUUCGGGUGUCAAACCCCUACGCGUAAUGAAAGUGAACGCAGGUGAGAGCUUCGGCGCAUCAUCGACCGAUCCUGAUGUUCUCGGAUGGAUUUGAGUAAGAGCAUACGGGGCCGGACCCGAAAGAAGGUGAACUAUGCCUGUAUAGGGUGAAGCCAGAGGAAACUCUGGUGGAGGCUCGCAGCGGUUCUGACGUGCAAAUCGAUCGUCAAAUAUGGGCAUGGGGGCGAAAGACUAAUCGAACCUUCUAGUAGCUGGUUUCCGCG